This 448-nucleotide ribosomal RNA is filed under the name uncultured bacterium. Its description in RNAcentral is "SSU rRNA". It matches the Rfam family "Bacterial small subunit ribosomal RNA", at positions 26 to 518 of the family's 1533-position model. The record is from RNAcentral.
AGAGCGAACGCUGGCGGCAGGCUUAACACAUGCAAGUCGAGCGGGCGUAGCAAUACGUCAGCGGCAGACGGGUGAGUAACGCGUGGGAACGUACCUUUUGGUUCGGAACAACCCAGGGAAACUUGGGCUAAUACCGGAUAAGCCCUUACGGGGAAAGAUUUAUCGCCGAAAGAUCGGCCCGCGUCUGAUUAGCUAGUUGGUGGGGUAAUGGCCCACCAAGGCGACGAUCAGUAGCUGGUCUGAGAGGAUGAUCAGCCACAUUGGGACUGAGACACGGCCCAAACUCCUACGGGAGGCAGCAGUGGGGAAUAUUGGACAAUGGGCGCAAGCCUGAUCCAGCCAUGCCGCGUGAGUGAUGAAGGCCCUAGGGUUGUAAAGCUUCUUUUGUGCGGGAAGAUAAUGACGGUACCGCAAGAAUAAGCCCGGCUAACUUCGCGCCAGCAGCCGC